RNAcentral lists this ribosomal RNA (491 nucleotides) under uncultured bacterium. Its description in RNAcentral is "partial 16S ribosomal RNA". It matches the Rfam family "Bacterial small subunit ribosomal RNA", at positions 29 to 506 of the family's 1533-position model. The record is from RNAcentral.
AGUGAACGCUGGCGGUAGGCCUAACACAUGCAAGUCGAACGGCAGCACAGUAAGAGCUUGCUCUUACGGGUGGCGAGUGGCGGACGGGUGAGGAAUACAUCGGAAUCUACUUUUUCGUGGGGGAUAACGUAGGGAAACUUACGCUAAUACCGCAUACGACCUACGGGUGAAAGCAGUGGAACUUCGGACCUUGCGCGAUUGAAUGAGCCGCUGUCGGAUUAGCUAGUUGGCGGGGUAAAGGCCCACCAAUGCGACGAUCCGUAGCUGGUCUGAGAGGAGGAAGCGGCACAGUGAAAGUGAGCCACGGCCCAGACACCGACGGGAGGCAGAGGUGGGUAAGAGUGGAAAAUGGGGGGAAGCCUGCACCAGCGAUACCGGGUUGGUGAAGAAGCCCCUCGGGUGGUAAAGCGCUUUUGUUGGGAUAGAAAAGCAGCAGGUGAAAACCCCGGUGUUCGGCCGGUACCCAUAGAAUAAGCACCGGUUAAUUUCUU